This 540-nucleotide ribosomal RNA is filed under the name Cytobacillus oceanisediminis. RNAcentral's name for it is "bacterial SSU rRNA". It matches the Rfam family "Bacterial small subunit ribosomal RNA", at positions 337 to 868 of the family's 1533-position model. The record is from RNAcentral. Lineage: Bacteria; Bacillati; Bacillota; Bacilli; Caryophanales; Bacillaceae.
UCCUACGGGAGGCAGCAGUAGGGAAUCUUCCGCAAUGGACGAAAGUCUGACGGAGCAACGCCGCGUGAGUGAUGAAGGUUUUCGGAUCGUAAAACUCUGUUGUUAGGGAAGAACAAGUGCCGGAGUAACUGCCGGCACCUUGACGGUACCUAACCAGAAAGCCACGGCUAACUACGUGCCAGCAGCCGCGGUAAUACGUAGGUGGCAAGCGUUGUCCGGAAUUAUUGGGCGUAAAGCGCGCGCAGGCGGUUCCUUAAGUCUGAUGUGAAAGCCCACGGCUCAACCGUGGAGGGUCAUUGGAAACUGGGGAACUUGAGUGCAGAAGAGGAGAGUGGAAUUCCACGUGUAGCGGUGAAAUGCGUAGAGAUGUGGAGGAACACCAGUGGCGAAGGCGACUCUCUGGUCUGUAACUGACGCUGAGGCGCGAAAGCGUGGGGAGCAAACAGGAUUAGAUACCCUGGUAGUCCACGCCGUAAACGAUGAGUGCUAAGUGUUAGAGGGUUUCCGCCCUUUAGUGCUGCAGCAAACGCAUUAAGCACU